This 1405-nucleotide long non-coding RNA is filed under the name Nicotiana benthamiana. Its description in RNAcentral is "long non-coding RNA (NBEN_LNC021343)". The record is from RNAcentral. Lineage: Eukaryota; Viridiplantae; Streptophyta; Magnoliopsida; Solanales; Solanaceae.
ACGAUGACUUAUAUUGGAUUAAUGGAACUCGAGACUUUGGUCAAGCCUUUUUUGGAGGAAAUAAGAACAUCAACCAAGAAAUAAUACUGUGGCAUAGACGGUUGGGGCACCCAUCUUUUUUUGUAUUAAAGAAAUUAUAUCCUAGUUUGUUUUCUAGAACUGAGUUUGAAUUUUUGUCUUGUGAUGCUUGUGAAUAUGCCAAGCAUACUAGAAACACUUAUCCUUUAAGUGACACUAAAAGUACUAUCCCUUUUUCGACUAUUCACUCUGAUGUAUGGGGUCCACUCAAACAGUUUCCUUGUCUGGUAGUCGAUGGUUUGUUACUUUUAUUGAUUGUUGCGCUAUGAUGACUUGGGUAUACUUGUCAAAGGCAAAAAAUGAAGUCUUCUCCUGUUUUCAGUCGUUUCAUAAGAUGAUUUGUACCCAAUUUGAGGUUUAGAUAAAAAUCUUGCGAACCGACAAUGGCACAGAAUAUACAGGUAAAGAUUUUGGUGCGUAUUUGUAGUCUUUUGGGAUAAUGCAUCAAACUAGCUGCCCUUAUACAUUUGCACAAAAUGGGGUUGCUGAAAGGAAAAAUAGACAUUUGCUAGAAGUAGCGAGAUCUCUAAUGUUUACUAUGAAUUUACCAAAACCUUGCUGGGGAUGUCAUUCUAGUAGCUGCCUACCUUAUCAAUAGAAUGCCCCUUAAAAACCUCAAUAUUAAAAGUCUUUUGGAAGCUUUGAAGAGUAAGAAUGAUUAUAUUGUUCCUCCAAAGGUGUUUGGCUGUGUUUGCUUUGUUCACACUAGAAAACCUCUUCGGGGGAAGAGCUCUAAGAAUGAAGAGAUGAUUCCCACUAUUGAAGCCACUAAGACAGGAAAAUGUGAAAUUGAAGAAAGAAUUCAGAGGGAGACUAUUGGGCGUUUGGAUAAACCUGAUUUGAUGACUUAUUCAAGAAAAAAGAAAGUUGAAGAAGUCAUCGUGCAAUCUACUGAAGCUCAUCCCUCUUUUGCGGUUGAAACCUCUUCUACUUGUGAGUUAUCUACAUUCCCUAGUGAGUUAGAUGUACCUAUUGCUCAUAGAAAAGGAGUCAGAUCUUGCACCAAAUAUCCUUUAUCUAACUUUGUCUCCUAUAAUUCAUUAUCUCCGUCCUAUAGAGAUUUUGCCUUGUCUGUUUCUUCUGUGUCUAUUCCCCAGAAUUGGAGGGAAGCUUUUGCAGAUUCUAAAUGGAAGCAAGCUAUGAUUGAAGAAAUGAAGGCCUUGCCAAAGAAUGAGACUUGGGAUCUUGUCACUUCACCACUAAAUAAGAAUUUGGUUGGCUGCAAAUGGGUCUUUACUGUGAAGCACAAAGCUGAUGGCUCGAUUGAAAGGUUCAAAGCAAGACUGGUGGCUAAGGGGUUCACUCAAACUUAUGGAGUUGAUUAUCA